UAGCUUAAUUGUUAAAGCACUCGUCUUACAUACAAGAGACGUGUGUUCGAAUCCCAC
RNAcentral lists this transfer RNA (57 nucleotides) under Aedes aegypti (yellow fever mosquito). It matches the Rfam family "tRNA", at positions 8 to 63 of the family's 71-position model. Rfam says of the family: Transfer RNA (tRNA) molecules are approximately 80 nucleotides in length. Their secondary structure includes four short double-helical elements and three loops (D, anti-codon, and T loops). The record is from Rfam by way of RNAcentral. Lineage: Eukaryota; Metazoa; Arthropoda; Insecta; Diptera; Culicidae.